Molecule: long non-coding RNA, 470 nt
Filed under: Dromaius novaehollandiae (emu)
Lineage: Eukaryota; Metazoa; Chordata; Aves; Casuariiformes; Dromaiidae
Description: lncRNA (ENSDNVG00000005483.1)
Source: RNAcentral
AGAGACCUAGAUGAAAGGAAAAAAAUGACUGUGAUCAGAUUAUUCAGCUCCCCCUACAGAUGGCCUGAAAAAGCCCAAAGGCUCUCACCSCACAUGGAGACACUAACAACUAAAUGAACUUUGGCUAAACAGUACCGAUGACACAUUAAUGCUACCGUAGCUCCAUUCUCAUUCUGCAUUCUGCACAGUGUUUUGUGAUCUGUCUUUGAUGGACAUAGCAAACAUCUCAAGAGGGUCCUCCACAGAUUUCUAGAAUAUGGUAAAGAAAAAAUACACAUUUUUGGAUAAUUCCCCAACAAGGAAGGACUCCCAAACUACUUAAAAUGAAAGAUCUUGAAAGUGCAAGAAAGAAGCAUGGAACCAAUGAACUACUGCAAAUGCUGCAGUAUGUGAAGCUCUGCAAUAGAAUGGCAUGUGUCCUUUUUCACUCACUGGCUGCCACAGUAAUCAGGAAUGAGCUUAUGAACUAA